RNAcentral lists this long non-coding RNA (577 nucleotides) under Capra hircus (goat). RNAcentral describes it as "lncRNA (ENSCHIG00000000848.1)". Lineage: Eukaryota; Metazoa; Chordata; Mammalia; Artiodactyla; Bovidae. The record is from RNAcentral.
ACUGGAGUGGGUUGCCAUGCCCUCCUCCAGGGGAUCUUCCCUACCCAGGAAUUGAACCCAGGUCUCCCACACUGCAGGCAAAUUUUUACCGUCUGAGCCACUAGGGAAGCCCUAACAUGAUUCUUCUCCCCGAAUUCUCUCCCGCCUGUAUUCCCUGACCCAGCAGGAAACCAUCAGUGGAGCUCCUUUGCUUCCUUCGAUUAGAGAAUCAAAUCUGUGAGCCAGAUCUUAAGUUCGAGGGCUGUACAAAUAGAUGUGCGCAUUCCUGGAGUCUGAAAAAGUUCAAAAACAUUAUGAUAGCAGAGAAGGCAAUGGCACACCACUCCAGUACUCUUGCCUGGAAAAUCCCAUGGACGGAGGAGCCUGGUGAGCUGCAGUCCGUGGGGUCACUAGGAGUCGGACACGACUAAGUGACUUCACUUGCACUUUUCACUUUCAUGCAUUGGAGAAGGAAAUGGCCACCCACUCCAGGGUUCUUGCCUGGAGAAUCCCAGGGACGGGGGAACCUGGUGGGCUGCCGUCUAUGGGGUUGCACAGAGUCGGACACGACUGAGGCAACUUAGCAGCAGCAGCAGCA